This 492-nucleotide ribosomal RNA is filed under the name uncultured bacterium. RNAcentral's name for it is "partial 16S ribosomal RNA". It matches the Rfam family "Bacterial small subunit ribosomal RNA", at positions 29 to 507 of the family's 1533-position model. The record is from RNAcentral.
AGUGAACGCUGGCGGUAGGCCUAACACAUGCAAGUCGAACGGCAGCACAGUAAGAGCUUGCUCUUACGGGUGGCGAGUGGCGGACGGGUGAGGAAUACAUCGGACUCUACUUUUUCGUGGGGGAUAACGUAGGGAAACUUACGCUAAUACCGCAUACGACCUACGGGUGAAAGCAGGGGAUCUUCGGACCUUGCGCGAUUGAAUGAGCCGAUGUCGGAUUAGCUAGUUGGCGGGGUAAAGGCCCACCAAGGAGACGAUCCGCAGCUGGUCUGAGAGGAUGAUCAGCCACACUGGAACUGAGACACGGUCCAGACUCCUACGGGAGGCAGCAGUGGGGAAUAUUGGACAAUGGGCGCAAGCCUGAUCCAGCCAUACCGCGUAGGUGAAGAAGGCCUUCGGGUUGUAAAGCCCUUUGGUUGGGAAAGAAAAGCAGCAGGGUAAUACCCCGCUGUUCUGACGGUACCCAAAGAAUAAGCACCGGCUAACUUCGUG